RNAcentral lists this ribosomal RNA (471 nucleotides) under uncultured bacterium. Its description in RNAcentral is "partial 16S ribosomal RNA". It matches the Rfam family "Bacterial small subunit ribosomal RNA", at positions 28 to 523 of the family's 1533-position model. The record is from RNAcentral.
GAUGAACGCUGGCGGCGUGCCUAACACAUGCAAGUCGAGCGAUUCUCUUCGGAGAAGAGCGGCGGACGGGUGAGUAACGCGUGGGUAACCUGCCCUGUACACACGGAUAACAUACCGAAAGGUAUGCUAAUACGAGAUAAUAUGCUUUUAUCGCAUGGUAGAAGUAUCAAAGCUUUUGCGGUACAGGAUGGACCCGCGUCUGAUUAGCUAGUUGGUAAGGUAACGGCUUACCAAGGCGACGAUCAGGAGGCGACCUGAGAGGGUGAUCGGCCAAGCUGGAACUGAGAAACGGUCCCGACUCCUACGGGAGGCAGCAGUGGAGAAUAUUGGUCAAUGGGGGCAACCCUGACCCAGCGACGCCGCGUGAGGGACGAAGUCCUUCGGGAUGUAAACCUCUGUUGUGGGGGAAGAAGCGAGUGACGGUACCUCGCGAGGAAGCCCCGGCAAACUACGUGCCAGCCGCCGCAGUAA